RNAcentral lists this ribosomal RNA (420 nucleotides) under Triticum aestivum (bread wheat). RNAcentral's name for it is "partial small subunit ribosomal RNA". Lineage: Eukaryota; Viridiplantae; Streptophyta; Magnoliopsida; Poales; Poaceae. The record is from RNAcentral.
AUGGUGUUCAUUGACUUGGAGAAGGCCUAUGAUAAGAUACUGCGGAAUGUCAUGUGGUGGGCCAUGGAGAAACACAAAGUCCCAGCAAAGUACAUUACCCUCAUCAAGGACAUGUACGAUAAUGUUGUGACAAGUGUUCGAACAAGUGAUGUCGACACUGAUGACUUCCCGAUUAAGAUAGGACUGCAUCAGGGGUCAGCUUUGAGCCCUUAUCUUUUUGCAUUAGUGAUGGAUGAGGUCACAAGGGAUAUACAAGGAGAUAUCUCAUGGUGUAUGCUCUUUGCGGAUGAUGUGGUGCUAGUUGGCGAUAGUCGGACGGGGGUAAAUAGGAAGUUAGAGUUAUGGAGACAAACCUUGGAAUCGAAAGGGUUUAGGCUUAGUAGAACUAGAACCGAGUACAUGAUGUGCGGUUUCAGUACU